Molecule: ribosomal RNA, 253 nt
Filed under: uncultured bacterium
Lineage: Bacteria
Description: partial 16S ribosomal RNA
Rfam family: Bacterial small subunit ribosomal RNA
Source: RNAcentral
UACGAAGGGUGCAAGCGUUAAUCGGAAUUACUGGGCGUAAAGCGCGCGUAGGUGGUUCAGUAAGUUGGAAGUGCAAUCCCCGGGCUCAACCUGGGAACUGCUUUCAAAACUGCUGAGCUAGAGUACGGUAGAGGGUGGUGGAAUUUCCUGUGUAGCGGUGAAAUGCGUAGAUAUAGGAAGGAACACCAGUGGCGAAGGCGACCACCUGGACUGAUACUGACACUGAGGUGCGAAAGCGUGGGGAGCAAACAGG